This 253-nucleotide ribosomal RNA is filed under the name uncultured bacterium. Its description in RNAcentral is "partial 16S ribosomal RNA". It matches the Rfam family "Bacterial small subunit ribosomal RNA", at positions 524 to 776 of the family's 1533-position model. The record is from RNAcentral.
UACGGAGGGAGCUAGCGUUGUUCGGAAUUACUGGGCGUAAAGCGCACGUAGGCGGAUUGCUAAGUCAGGGGUGAAAUCCUGGAGCUCAACUCCAGAACUGCCUUUGAUACUGGCGACCUUGAGUCCGGGAGAGGUGAGUGGAACUGCGAGUGUAGAGGUGAAAUUCGUAGAUAUUCGCAAGAACACCAGUGGCGAAGGCGGCUCACUGGCCCGGUACUGACGCUGAGGUGCGAAAGCGUGGGGAGCAAACAGG